This 970-nucleotide ribosomal RNA is filed under the name uncultured Methanosarcinales archaeon. Its description in RNAcentral is "bacterial SSU rRNA". It matches the Rfam family "Archaeal small subunit ribosomal RNA", at positions 40 to 1016 of the family's 1478-position model. Lineage: Archaea; Methanobacteriati; Methanobacteriota; Methanomicrobia; Methanosarcinales. The record is from RNAcentral.
UCUUUAAGCCAUUGCGAGUCGAAUGUAGCAAUACAUGGCGAACUGCUCAGUAACACGUGGACAACCUGCCCUUAGGGUUGGGUAUAAACCCGGGAAACUGGGUAUAAUACCCGAUAGGUCUCGAUUGCUGGAAUGCAUCGAGAUUUAAAGCUCCGGCGCCUAAGGAUGGGUCUGCGGCCUAUCAGGUAGUAGUGGGUGUAGCGUACUACUAGCNUACGACGGGUACGGGUUGUGAGAGCAAGAGCCCGGAGAUGGAUUCUGAGACACGAAUCCAGGCCCUACGGGGUGCAGCAGGCGCGAAAACUUUACAAUGCUGGCAACAGCGAUAAGGGAACCUCGAGUGCCAGGUUACAAAUCUGGCUGUCGAGAUGCCUAAAAAGCAUUUCAUAGCAAGGGCCGGGCAAGACCGGUGCCAGCCGCCGCGGUAACACCGGCGGCUCGAGUGGUAACCGUUAUUAUUGGGUCUAAAGGGUCUGUAGCCGGCUGGAUAAGUCUCUUGAGAAAUCUGGCAGCUUAACUGUCAGGCUUUCAGGAGAUACUGUCUGGCUCGAGGCCGGGAGAGGUGAGAGGUACUUCAGGGGUAGGGGUGAAAUCUUGUAAUCCUUGAAGGACCACCAGUGGCGAAGGCGUCUCACCAGAACGGACCUGACGGCAAGGGACGAAAGCUAGGGGCACGAACCGGAUUAGAUACCCGGGUAGUCCUAGCCGUAAACGAUACUCGCUAGGUGUCGGCCACGGUGCGACCGUUGUCGGUGCCGUAGGGAAGCCGUGAAGCGAGCCACCUGGGAAGUACGGCCGCAAGGCUGAAACUUAAAGGAAUUGGCGGGGGAGCACCACAACGGGUGGAGCUUGCGGUUUAAUUGGAUUCAACGCCGGAAAUCUUACCGGGACCGACAGCAAUAUGAAGGCCAGGCUGAAGACUUUGCCGGAUUAGCUGAGAGGUGGUGCAUGGCCGUCGUCAGUCGUACCU